GGUAUACGCCGUGUUAGUAUAGAAUUGUUUUGAAUUGUAAUUACUAAUGUCCGAUCGAACACAAUAAUUACCGAUGCUUUUCGAAAAUUAUACGAAUUGUCAUGUGACGUGUAUUAAUUAUUAAAUUUUAUUAAUAGUUAAAGACUUUCUGACGAUGGCUUUAGGAAACGGUAGUGCAACCGCUAAUGGUGGAGUAACUCAAGAAAAAGCUCCUGUAGUUAAUGGCACUAACAUGGAAACGCUUCCCAGAACCAGCAAGCAGACGGACCCUAACACUGCUUUUUUAAGAGCUGCAAGAGCUGGUCAGCUUGACAAAAUUCAAGAAUACCUUGACUCAGGAACAAUUAGAGAUAUAAAUACUUCAAAUGCGAAUGGCCUUAACGCACUUCACCUGGCAGCUAAGGAUGGUCACAUUGAAGUUGUACGAGAGCUUCUAAAACGAGAUGCUAUUAUCGACGCUGCAACGAAAAAAGGAAACACAGCUUUACACAUAGCUUCUCUUGCUGGCCAGGAGGAAGUUGUCCGAUUAUUAAUCCAGCAUGGUGCUUCAAUUAACGUUCAAUCACAAAAUGGCUUCACCCCAUUGUAUAUGGCAGCUCAGGAAAAUCACGAAAACGUUGUCAAAUAUUUACUUUCGAAAGGUGCAAACCAAGCUCUGGCUACCGAGGACGGAUUUACACCUUUAGCAGUUGCAAUGCAGCAGGGUCAUGACAAAGUUGUUGCUGUAUUGUUAGAAAACGAUACAAGAGGUAAGGUUAAGUUGCCAGCUCUUCAUAUCGCAGCCAAAAAGGAUGACGUGAAAGCAGCCUCUUUAUUAUUACAGAAUGACCAUAACCCUGAUAUAACAUCGAAAAGCGGAUUUACACCUUUGCACAUAGCUGCUCACUACGGAAAUGACAAAGUGGCUUCCCUUUUGUAUGACAAAGGCGCUGAUGUAAAUUUUUCAGCUAAACAUAAUAUUACUCCCCUUCAUGUGGCAAGUAAAUGGGGUAAGAUCAACAUGGUUUCUCUUCUUGUUGCAAAAGGCGCUAAUAUUCAAGCAAAAACACGGGAUGGUCUAACACCAUUGCAUUGUGCCGCUAGAUCAGGCCACGACCAAGUUGUGGAUAUGUUGCUGGAAAAUGGAGCACCAAUGCAUGCAAAAACUAAGAAUGGACUUGCUCCACUACAUAUGGCAGCCCAGGGAGAACAUGUUGAUGCUGCUAGAAUUCUUCUGUAUCAUGGAGCACCAGUUGAUGAAGUAACGGUAGAUUAUCUCACUGCGCUUCAUGUUGCUGCUCAUUGCGGACAUGUACGAGUUGCUAAAUUACUUUUAGACAGAGGAGCUGAUCCAAAUGCAAGGGCCUUGAACGGUUUUACUCCACUUCACAUCGCCUGUAAAAAAAACAGGAUUAAAAUGGUGGAACUUUUACUAAAACAUGGUGCAAAUAUUGGUGCUACAACCGAAAGUGGCCUCACUCCCUUACAUGUUGCUAGUUUUAUGGGUUGCAUGAACAUUGUAAUAUAUCUACUCCAACAUGACGCAAAUCCAGAUGUUCCCACAGUUCGAGGAGAAACCGCUCUACAUUUAGCUGCGAGGGCAAACCAGACAGAUAUAAUACGAAUACUACUAAGGAAUGGAGCAGCCGUUGAUGCAAAAGCUCGAGAAGAACAAACACCUUUGCACGUUGCAUCUCGAUUAGGAAAUGUUGACAUUGUUAUGCUUUUGCUACAACAUGGAGCAAAUCCUCAUGCAACAACAAAAGAUUUAUAUACUCCGCUACACAUUGCCGCUAAAGAGGGGCAAGAAGAGGUGGCAUCGAUAUUGUUGGACAAUGGAGCUGACUUAACUGCAACUACCAAGAAAGGUUUCACUCCUCUACAUUUAGCUGCAAAGUAUGGACAUUUAAAUAUUGCCCGAUUGCUUCUACAAAGAGAUGCUCCAGCAGAUGCCCAAGGCAAAAACGGAGUUACUCCACUUCAUGUUGCUGCCCACUACGAUCAUCAACCUGUAGCCUUACUGCUGCUUGAUAAAGGUGCCUCUCCUCAUGCUAUAGCUAAAAACGGACAUACUCCACUGCAUAUUGCUGCUAAAAAGAAUCAAAUGGAUAUCGCAACGACUCUGUUGGAAUACGGAGCAAAAGCUGAUGCUGAAUCAAAAGCCGGUUUUACGCCCCUUCAUUUAAGUGCUCAAGAAGGACAUGUCGAUAUGUCUUCCUUAUUAAUUGAACACCAAUCAAAUCCAAAUCAUGCUUCUAAGAAUGGGUUAACACCUCUACACUUAUGUGCUCAAGAAGACCACGUCCCUGUGGCCCAACUCUUGCUUAGAGCCGGUGCCAAUUCAGGUGCAGUCACAAAGUCUGGAUACACACCACUGCACGUGGCUUGUCAUCAUGGUCACGUCAACAUAAUUCGUCUUCUCCUUGAACAAGGAGCAGAUGUCAACCCCGUUACCCUAACUGGUUAUACACCUCUCCAUCAGGCUGCUCAGCAGGGACAUGUUCUCGUCAUACGUCUCCUGCUUAAAAAUAAGGCCAAUCCAAAUGCUUUAACUAAUAGUGGCCAGUCUGCCUUAGGUAUUGCAAGUAAAUUGGGAUAUAUCAGUGUUAUAGAGGAGUUAAAGGUUGUCACAGAAGUUGAUAUUACAACUACGACUACUACAAACAUAGAAGAAAAAUAUCGCGUAAUGGCACCAGAAGCAAUGCAAGAAGUUUUCAUGUCUGAUUCGGAAGAUGAAGGUGACGAUCCAGGUGAUCACCACAAUCAGUACAAAUAUAUGACUGCGGAUGAUAUGAAAUCAUUUGGUGGAGACGAUUCCAUGAAAUUAGAUGUUACUAGCGAUGAAAAAAGUGAUCACCGUAGUUCAAUGGCACCGUCAUAUGUAAGUGGGGAAGGUUAUAUUAAUGCCUCUCAUGCUCAUCAGAAUUACUCCAUUAAUUCGCACAUGGUUCCUGACAAUGUGGAUAUCAACAGACAUCCUAUUACUGUUGGUUUUCUGGUGUCAUUCCUUGUUGAUGCAAGAGGUGGGGCCAUGAGAGGCUGUCGACAUUCCGGAGUUAGAGUUAUUGUUCCUCCCAAAUGCGCAGCUAGUCCAAUACGGAUUACUUGUCGAUAUGUUCGACCUCAAAGAGUUGCCAAUCCUCCCCCCUUAAUGGAGGGAGAAGCCCUUGCCAGCAGAAUUCUAGAGCUUGGUCCGGUUGGUGCUAAAUUUUUGGGGCCAGUCAUACUUGAGAUACCACACUUUGCAUCUCUUCGAGGAAAGCAACGUGAAAUUAUCGUUCUAAGGUCAGAUACAGGCGAAACAUGGAAAGAACAUACUCUUGAAGCCAGUGAAGAAGCUAUUCAGGAUGUUUUAAAUCACAGUUUUGAUGGAGAAGAACUGAAUCAAAUUGAAGAUCUUCACACAAGUCGAAUAACACGCAUUUUAACAAAUGAUUUUCCACAUUACUUUGCUAUAGUCUCCAGGGUGAGGCAAGAAGUUCAUGCUAUUGGUCCCGAAGGUGGCACUGUUUCUAGUACUGCUGUUCCAUUAGUGCAAGCCGUCUUCCCUCCAAAUGCGUUAACGAAAAAAAUUAAAGUUGGGCUUCAGGCACAAGCAGUUGAACCAGAAGUAGUUGCAAAACUUCUAGGCCAUGGAGUUGCAGUAUCUCCAAUAGUUACUGUUGAACCAAGGCGAAGAAAAUUCCAUAAAGCUAUCACUUUAAGUAUGCCAGCUCCCAGAGCGCAUUCUCAAGGAAUGAUCAAUCAGUACUCAGGCUUAGCUCCAACAUUACGACUCCUGUGUUCCAUAACAGGAGGCCAGACUAAAGCAGUUUGGGAAGAUGUAACAGGAUCAACACCACUCACCUUUAUCAAGGAUUGUGUAUCGUUUACUACAACCGUUUCUGCUCGAUUCUGGCUGAUGGACUGUAGAAAUGUUUCAGAAUCUGCUCGAAUGGCAACAGAGCUUUAUAUUUUUUCAGCACAUGUACCGUUUAUGGCCAAAUUUGUCAUAUUUGCAAAACGGAUUAGUGUCUCUGAAGCCAGAAUUAGAGUUUUUUGUAUGACCGAUGAUAAGGAAGAAAAGACCUUGGAGCAUCAGGAACAUUUCACUGAAAUAGCGAAAAGUAGAGAUGUUGAAGUACUUGAAAAUAGAAACAUUUACAUGGAAUUUUCUGGAAAUCUAAUACCGAUAUUGCAAUCUGGUGAUCAACCCAUACUUGAUUUUGUGGCCUUCCGAGAAAACAGAUUAGCUUUUUCUGUUAGAAUUAAAGAUAUAGAUGAAGAACCAUCUGGGCUUAUUCUAUUUAUGACAGAUCCUAAAGUAGCACGUGGAGAUCCACCACAAACGCCAAUUUGCACUCUAAAUCUUAUUCUUCCUUCUCAAAUUUUGCCUGACCGAGAUUCUCAUUCAGAUUUACUGUCAUUAGAUAAUGAUCACAGCUAUUUACAACAUGGUGGAAUAAGUAAAGCUGAUGCAAUACAUAGAGCAGAUUUCCGACUUUCAGAUAUUUGUAACUUACUUAACGGUGACAUGGAAAAACUUGCAGCAGAACUUGGAAUACCCCCAUCAGAUAUCAAAAUAAUUAAGGAAGAAUAUACCAACAAUACUGCACAGCAAUCGAUGGUUAUGUUCCGACUAUGGUUAAGACAAAAAGGGAAUAGGGCUACUGGUAAUCAACUUGAACAAGCCCUGAACAAAAUUGGUCGGCAAGAUAUUGUAUCCAAAUGCAUAUGCAAUGUUGAAUUAGUAACCGAUGAUAUGGAACGAGCCUUGGCAAAGGUCAGAUUAGAUCAGUCCGGAUUUGAUUCUCUAAAAGACGAAUUGGGGUUAUCAUCCAGAGAAACGUCCUUACAACGAGGUGAUCACGUAACCAACUUUUAUAAAGACGAAGAACUUGAUAAAAAUCAAAAAAAUAAAGAAAAUCACAACGGCAAGUUCAUUAACGACGAUUUGGUCAAUACUAUCGAAAACUACCUUGUAUAUACUGAAGAAAAUGGCAAACUUGCUAGAGAAAACGAAUCGGAAAUUUAUAAAUCUCCGGAUGUUUCAAAUGAAAAGAAUAUUAAAACUAUCACCAACGAUCAAGAUAUAAAACAUAAAAAUUACGAUAUAAAAACUCCUCCUCCAAGUCCAGCUGAGUACAAGGUCAAUACCGCGAAUGUCGUUGAUGAAGACAAUGUCAAUCGAGAUGCUUUUGGACCGUCAAGCCGUAAGGAAACAGAGAAAUUCAUUCAAUUUGAAAAAUCUACAUCGUAUGUUUUUCCAAAUGAAGAUAAUGAGAGAAAUAAAAAUGUAGAAAUGUUACCAAAAGUUAUAGCAGAACAGAAACUUUCAGAAACAAAAACUAACAAUUUAGAAAAAACUGAUACUGUUGAACAACAAUACCCAGAUGAUAAAGAUUUAUCACCUGAGAAAAUUAAUUUAAAAGCAUGUGAAACUCCUAACUUGCAUAAAGUUGCACUGCAGAAGGCUUCCAUGGAUACUUCCUUUAAUGAACUGUCAAAAAAUGAGAUAGAGAAGAUUUCAAAACCAAUAAAAUCGGAAAUUGGUAGUGAUAGGUCAAAAGAUAUUUUGCAGUACGAUUUAGGACCCAUUGCACGAGUCAAAACUGAAGAGUUUUUAGAAGCUGAAAAAACCAAUACGUCAUCCUAUCACCAAUAUCCAAAAUUAAAUAAACUUGACCGUGAAUCGAUUGUGAAAGAAGAAUAUCAUUCACAGCUAGAAAAUUCUACAACUGACCAAGAAAAUUCAAAAUUAAAAACCGCAACUGAAUUGUUUUUGGACUCUGAAAAAACUUUAUCGAUGAACUCGUUUACGAAAUAUGAAAAUACAGAUCAAGAUUCAAAGAAAACAAUUAAUCAACUAUUAGAGGAUGGGAAAGCCAAAAAAAUGUUAGAUAGUGAAAAAGAGUCUCAUAAAGAAAAGAAAUCGAAAAAAGAUAAAAAACAGAAAUCUGAUGAAGAGCGAAUCGCAGAAUUGAAAGUAAAUGUAAGUAAUACCCUUACAUUUUUACAUCAAGAACGCAAUGAUUUUUUACCUGAUGAAGAUAUAAUUAUUCCCCAACGGAAAGAUGACCAUGUUGCAAAAGAAAUAAAUUUAGAUUACAUUAAAACAAAAAAGCAUCAUCACUACGAAAAUAUAACGUCUCCAGAACGAACUACACAUACUUAUGAAAAUAUGCCUGCAUUCCAACAUGUUUAUGAGGACGUUGAUUUUCAAACUCGAGAUACAACAACAGGUGAACCCUUAUAUGAAAAUAUAUGUGCCGUGGCAAAGGAUGAAGUUUCAGAUGUUAUUCAUCAGGCAGAAAAAGUGGUCAAUGAAGAAUGUAAUAUAUUUGAACCUCUACCUGAGGAAACUCCCAUUAUUGAGGAAUUAAUAGAAAACGAACAUCCAACUAGAAAAGAUGUCAACAAUACUUUCUGUAGUUUAGAACACUUUCGUGAUGAUCUUUUAAAAACAUCGCAACAAAAAAGCGAAGAAGCUUUUCAAUUUCUUGAAAACGAGUUAUCAAGUCCCUUAACCCCCACGGUAGAAUCGUUAGGAAAGUCAGUGACAUUCGCAGAAAACGUAGAAUACAAUUCCCCUAACCAACGUGAAUUAACAAGUGCUUUUAUUGAGUCCCAGUGUUCUAGUCCAUUUUCUAAAAAAGAAGAACCUGAUGCUCAUAAAAUUAAAAGUUCAAUACCAGUUCCUAAACCAAGGCAAAAGCCAGCACAGGAAAAAGAUAUUGAUUUAUUAUUUUCGGAAAACGAUCAAGCAUUAACAUCCAUGGAAAAUGAACUAUUAAGCAAAAUUCCUGUAGCUAAAGGUAAAGUUAAAACUAUAAAAAAACAUUCUAAAGAUCCUUUGAAAGAAUUCGUCAAGCUUAGUCAAGAUAUAAAUUGGGACGAAGAAAUUGACGGUAAAAUUACCAAGACGAUAAUUUCUGAUGAUAAUGGUACUAUUACUAAAACUACUAUAACAGUUGAUCCAAGUAUAAAAACGAAAAUCACAUCACCAGAAGUUACGUUAACGUCGAAAGGAGUUAUUUCUGACGAAUUAACCGAGCAUUCUGAGACAGCAAAAAGCAAAAUUCCAAAACUAAAAUCAGAAACAAAACCUACAAAAGCAACGGAGGAACCUAUAACUGUAUUAGAAUCAUCUAGUUUACCUGAAAACAUUGUAUCGCCUGGAUCUGAUUCAAAACAUUCUAACAAAAGUAGUACUUUAGAUUCUGACUCUGAUACAGACAGUAGAAAAAGUCCCCCGUUGAAAGGAAUAUUAAAAAAAAAUAAUAUACGUACCGUUGGCAGUUCAAGCGGUUCAGAUGUCGCACUUCAUGAAGACGGAGCAGAACUAAGCGAAGAUGAAUCAGUUUGAAAAAUAUUUUCCCAGACAAUAUAAUAAAACUUCUUGGAACUAUUGACAAUUACAAUGCAGCUGGCCUUUAGAAACACAUUUCGCAUAUACCAUCAUAUACAACAAAUAAUCUUCAUGCCUUCUCUUAUACAAAUCUGCUUGUUUUUAGUGAGGUUCUUCAAAAAGGAAAAGAAGACCUAUGCCAAAAUGACCAACCACAAUAUACUGAAAGUAUCACAGAAGAGAUUGACCCUCACACCGGAGCAAA
Molecule: unclassified non-coding RNA, 7571 nt
Filed under: Agrilus planipennis (emerald ash borer)
Lineage: Eukaryota; Metazoa; Arthropoda; Insecta; Coleoptera; Buprestidae
Description: ankyrin-3, transcript variant X8
Source: RNAcentral